GCCAGCAGCCAUAUCACUGCAACUCACAACCGGCAAUCCACUGAAGCUAAGCAGGUGUGAACCUGGUCAGUACCUGGAUGGGAAACCUCCUGGGAAAAACUAAGGUUGCUGCUGGAA
This 117-nucleotide ribosomal RNA is filed under the name Lepisosteus oculatus (spotted gar). Lineage: Eukaryota; Metazoa; Chordata; Actinopteri; Semionotiformes; Lepisosteidae. The record is from RNAcentral.